RNAcentral lists this ribosomal RNA (513 nucleotides) under uncultured bacterium. Its description in RNAcentral is "partial 16S ribosomal RNA". It matches the Rfam family "Bacterial small subunit ribosomal RNA", at positions 28 to 523 of the family's 1533-position model. The record is from RNAcentral.
GACGAACGCUGGCGGCAUGCCUAAUACAUGCAAGUCGAGCGAACAGAUGAAGUGCUUGCACUUCUGACGUUAGCGGCGAACGGGUGAGUAACACGUAAGGAAUCUACCUAUAAGCGGGGGAUAACAUUCGGAAACGGGUGCUAAUACCGCAUAAUAUCUUCUUCCGCAUGGAAGAAGAUUGAAAGACGGCUCUGCUGUCACUUAUAGAUGACCUUGCGGUGCAUUAGUUAGUUGGUGGGGUAACGGCCUACCAAGACGAUGAUGCAUAGCCGACCUGAGAGGGUAAUCGGCCACAUUGGGACUGAGACACGGCCCGAACUCCUACGGGAGGCAGCAGUAGGGAAUCUUCCGCAAUGGGCGAAAGCCUGACGGAGCAAUGCCGCGUGAGUGAAGAAGGCCUUCGGGUCGUAAAACUCUGUUAUAAGAGAAGAACAAAUUGUAGAGUAACUGCUACAGUCUUGACGGUAUCUUAUCAGAAAGCCACGGCUAACUACGUGCCAGCAGCCGCCGUAA